RNAcentral lists this transfer RNA (74 nucleotides) under Pajaroellobacter abortibovis. It matches the Rfam family "tRNA". From Rfam's summary of the family: Transfer RNA (tRNA) molecules are approximately 80 nucleotides in length. Their secondary structure includes four short double-helical elements and three loops (D, anti-codon, and T loops). The record is from Rfam by way of RNAcentral. Lineage: Bacteria; Pseudomonadati; Myxococcota; Polyangiales; Polyangiaceae.
GUCCCCAUCGUCUAGUUGGCCUAGGACAACGGCUUUUCACGUCGUUAACGGGGGUUCGAAUCCCCCUGGGGACG